This 403-nucleotide ribosomal RNA is filed under the name uncultured bacterium. Its description in RNAcentral is "partial 16S ribosomal RNA". It matches the Rfam family "Bacterial small subunit ribosomal RNA", at positions 30 to 526 of the family's 1533-position model. The record is from RNAcentral.
AUUGAACGCUGGCGGCAUGCCUAACACAUGCAAGUCGAGCGAGCGUCGGACGGGUGAGUAAUUUAUGGGGGCUGCCCGCUAUACGGGGUUAACUGCUGGAAACGGUGGCUAAUAUCGCAUACUAUCGGAUGCCCCAUAUGCGAUUAGAUAUUAGUUGGGGUAAUGGCUCACCUAGGCGACGAUCCCUAGCUGGUCUGAGAGGUUGAUCAGCCACACUGGGACUGAGACACGGCCCAGACUCCUACGGAGGCAGCAGUGGGGAAUAUUGCACAAUGGGCGAAAGCCUGAUGCAGCCAGGCCGCGUGUAUGAAGAAGGCCCUAGGGUUGUAAAGUACUUUCAGUCGGGAGGCGUUACCGACAGAAGAAGCACCGGCUAACUCCGUGCCAGUAGCCGCGGUAAUUC